RNAcentral lists this long non-coding RNA (293 nucleotides) under Elaeis guineensis (African oil palm). RNAcentral describes it as "long non-coding RNA (EGUI_LNC021705)". The record is from RNAcentral. Lineage: Eukaryota; Viridiplantae; Streptophyta; Magnoliopsida; Arecales; Arecaceae.
UGACCCGAUAUGUGUCACGAUGGUGGUGCAGAAGCGGCAUCAUGUGACUGUAGAGGUGCUAACUCAGAAGCAUCAAUACCGAGCCAUCCCGCCACCACAGCUACUAUCCUCUCGAGCGUCUGACUACGAUUUAUCCAGUAACUAAUCUGAUCUUGCAUCAUACUCAUGGAUGUCCUAACUGCCUCUGGCACCGAUGCAUUAUCAGACCGGCUGGAUGACGAACUGUAUGAUUUUUUGGACCGCAUGCUAUGACCAGAUCCUAGCUACCGCCCGAGGACAGUAUCCAAAAUCGU